GUGAACGCUGGCGGUAGGCCUAACACAUGCAAGUCGAACGGCAGCACAGUAAGAGCUUGCUCUUACGGGUGGCGAGUGGCGGACGGGUGAGGAAUACAUCGGAAUCUACUUUUUCGUGGGGGAUAACGUAGGGAAACUUACGCUAAUACCGCAUACGACCUACGGGUGAAAGCAGUGGAUCUUCGGACCUUGCGCGAUUGAAUGAGCCGAUGUCGGAUUAGCUAGUUGGCGGGGUAAAGGCCCACCAAGGCGACGAUCCGUAGCUGGUCUGAGAGGAUGAUCGGCCACACUGGAACUGGGACACGGUCCAGACUCCUACGGGAGGCAGCAGUGGGGAAUAUUGGACAAUGGGCGCAAGCCUGAUCCAGCCAUACCGCGUGGGUGAAGAAGGCCUUCGGGUUGUAAAGCCCUUUUGUUGGGAAAGAAAAGCAGCAGGUUAAUACCCAGCUGUUCUGACGGUACCCAAAGAAUAAGCACCGGCUAACUUCGUG
This 491-nucleotide ribosomal RNA is filed under the name uncultured bacterium. RNAcentral's name for it is "partial 16S ribosomal RNA". It matches the Rfam family "Bacterial small subunit ribosomal RNA", at positions 29 to 507 of the family's 1533-position model. The record is from RNAcentral.